This 6420-nucleotide long non-coding RNA is filed under the name Gossypium barbadense (sea-island cotton). RNAcentral's name for it is "long non-coding RNA (GBAR_LNC006748)". The record is from RNAcentral. Lineage: Eukaryota; Viridiplantae; Streptophyta; Magnoliopsida; Malvales; Malvaceae.
AGGGAAACUCAAUUAAAAUAGAAUUAAAAUGGAAGGGACAAAUUAUAAAUGUAAUAAACUGUUAAAAAAUAAAAAAAGGACCAGCGUACAACAUGUGCAAAUGCGCAGGGACCGAAUCUGGAAAUAAUCCAGACCCCAAAACGCAGCGCUGAAGCACGGACCAAAGUGCAAAUACGCGCAAGUUACAGGGAUAAUCUAAAAAAAAACAAAGAAAUACAAAUGUAAGCUGAUUGAGAAGCAGUGCAAAAGGGGGAGGGCCAAUCUUGAAAUAACCCUUCACCGCAAAAACACGCGGGUCCUGAGGGUAUUCGGGAACGGAUCGGGUCAGGGCUCCCACCAAACGAUGUCGUUUUUGAACCAUUUAGAUUGGUUGAAACGGUGCCGUUUUUGUUUCCUUAAAAAGGCCAAAUCAUGCCUUCAUUCAGCCGAAUCUCUUAUGCAACCCUAGCCUUUUCUUUUUCCCCCUUAGCCGAACCCUAAGUCCCCUUCUCAAGCAUCAAACCGCCAUCAAGAACGGCGCCUCGUGCUUCUGGCUUCGACUUGUCGCUCUUUGGCCUCAAAAUCCCCCCUUUAGCUUCGAUUUUGACGAAGCAAGAGAGGAUCAAUAGCGGAUUCGCAAGGUAAGGUCUCGUUUUCCCUUUUCUUUUGUUUUUAAAUGCAAAAACUGAGAAAGUAAAAAACGAAGGAAGCAGAUAAAGAAAAAACGCAAUAGAUCCAGAAACUCAAAACGGAAAUCACCUUUCUUUGCUUUUUUCUAUUUUAUCGUUUCGUAUGCGUAGUGUGUCUAUAUUUCGUAACCCCUUACAAAGAUUAAAAAUCUUGGCUUUAUAGCCGAAAAGAAAGAAAGAAAAAAAAUAGAUAAAAAAUACAAUAUUUGUUCUUUGUUUUGCUGUGCGUUCGUCCUUUUUGCAGGUAUAGGUGUGCGUGGCGCGAGUACGGGGCUGUGCUGGCGUACGGAGGCGCGGGCGUAGCUGCUGAAGCGCUGGAGCGUACGGAGGCGUUGUCUGGUUGCGGCGCAAGCAUUAGGCUAGGGUUUGCCCUGGCUGAGAUUUGGUUUAGGCAUUGGGCCUAUUGGGCCAUCAGGGUUUUGGGUUAGGGAUUUGGAAUUGGGCUAGUUAUUUUUUUGGGUUUUGUUAUGUAAUUGGACAUUUAAUGGACUAUUUUGGUUUUUUUGUUUCUUUAUUUGGUCUUGAUGUGAACCCGGGCAAAUUGGCCUGCUUACAACGUCUACGUUGUAUUUGGGGUCUUACAUUUGACCAUUCCAAACUAUACACAAUUUUAACUUCGUCAUUUAAUGUAAUUGCAUUUACCACCCUCGAAACUUUUGACAUGGGGUUAUAUUUUACGACAAAUAUAAUAUUCUUCUUGUUUUGGUCAUUAUUAUAUUGUUUCUUAAUACAACAAAUUAUCUUUUAAAUUUAUAUUCGAAUUAAUAUGAUAGAUACCAAUAUUAAUGCUUUCCUUAGAAUGAAAAGAAUGUGGAUUUCUUCCUAAUAACACAUUAUGUAUAACAAAUAAUGCCUUACCAAUAUAUAUUUCUUAAUAUUAAUAGAAAUUAUUAUAUUCUAAAUAAAUUGAUUAUUUUAGUUUUUCUUAAUACAAAUUUUUUUCUAAAUUGGAUCCAUUCAUUAAUGUUACAUUUCCAUUCAAAGUCUAUACAAUAUUUUUUUGAAUUUCUUUUCGAAUAAAGAGUGAACUUAAAAAAUACGAGGAUUCAAAUACUAUAUUAGUGUAAUCGUAUUCUUCCUAAUAAAUUAUAGGAAAAAUUGAAAUAAAUCUAACAAUUUAAUAUGAAUUCAUGUUGGUACGAAAGCUGUAAUUUUAUUUUGUUGAUAGAUUGUUUAAUUUGAAUUUUUUUAGGAUAUAUUGGUAUUUAUAUUUUAUAUUCAAUUUAAGAAAUAAAUUAUAUUUUAAUGCUUUAUUAAGAAAAAAAUAUGUAAAAAGAAACUAUGUUGAAUACUACUUCAUUUGGGUUAUACAACUAUCUAUAAUUUAUAUUUUUCUUAAAAUUAAUAUGACAUGAGGAAAUAACUAAGCUACGACCGCUUGAAAAGGACAUGAAAGAUUAAUGUAUGUAAUAAGUAAUUUAAUUUGUUGAUUAUUGGUGAAUCAAUAUUCUUGUUCGCAAAAGAAAUUGGAUAAAAAAUUUCACCAUCAAAUUGAUUCUAAAAGAUAGGAUAUACAAAAGCAAGAGAAAUCAUAAUAUGGUUGUUUGAAAGCAUCUCUUUCUUAUGGACAAAUUUGGAGAUGUCACCAUAAAUCAAUUGAAAACCCAGAAUUUAAUGUUUUUGUAAAGACAUCAUUGUUAGCUUUUGAUACAUUAAAAUAUGGUUGUUUGAAAGCAUCUCUUUCUUAUUUGAUUUGUGAAACUAUUGCUUGUUUACAUUUUCCAAAAUGUAUAAGUUCGUAGUGGAAAUAUUUAGCACGAUGAAUUUUGGAAACAUUUUUUGUUGCUUAAAAAUCCAUUGCUUUGCAGGAAAACCGAGUGUCAUCAAUAAAAACAGUUAAUCAAUUUUGAGCAAAAAAAGAUAUUAAGUCCAAAACCAAAAUAGUCUCAAGUGUCCAAACAGUCCAAAUUUUGCAAAAUACUUUAAUUCCAAAUUUAAAUAAAUCAAAUAUACUAAAAUAUUGUAAUCGAGCUCCUGUCACACCGAUCCGCCUAAGUCUGAGGGUUACCUGAAAGUGACAUAACAACAGAGAGUGAGUUUUUGAAACUUUGUGUGUAACUUAUUAAAUCAAUACCACAGAUUACAUUCAGACAAAACUCUUAACAGAGCAGAUACAAAACAUAUAUCACAUACAGAAACAUAAUCAAAUGCAAAUUUACAAUCUUACCCUCAUCCGCUACACACCAUAUGGAGUAUUAAAUACCCAUCCACCCCUACACACCACUUAGUGCUGGUAUGACACUUUUCGGAAUAUUUGUAGUUUAGCUGCUGGAUCAUUAAACGAUUUAUCGCCGUUUAUAGAUAUAUGUGUGGCUGAGCUACCAAAUACGACUAGUUAUUAUACUGCCCACACUUCCUCUAUAUACAUAAAUCCCAUCCCAAAUGCACAUACAAAAAUAUAAAAUGCUAGAUAUGUAUAUGUCAUACAUGCUCAAUAUCCAACUUAAGUCAUGCUUAUUAGAUAACAAGUCAUACAUAACAAUUUUCAAUUUGUACACAACAUAUUGCAGAUUUUACUUAUCUUAUAUCAUUUCAAAUAUGGUAUUUUUAUUUAAGUUUACAUUAACAGAUGGUUAAAAUUUGUGUUUUACAACUUAUUCUAUAACAUACCGACCUUACAAAAGGCCUACGAUCGAUCCAAAUGAUGUUUACGACCCUAGGAAAAAAUUCAAAAUUUUGGGCCCACACAGCCUAACACACGGUCUCACACACGCCUAUGUGGCCCACACGGCCUAGCACACGACCAUGUGACGUUGAUAAUACUAAUUUUUGGCUUUCGCUGUUCGCUGAUUUUUGGGUUUUUUGUUACACACCUGGUUCGAUUUUGAUGUGGAUGCAAACAUGAAACUUCCGAAACCUAAAUACGAAUUUAAGACGAUCAAUACUAGUAAUGAAACACAAAAUUAAUCAAGAAUCGAACAUAACCAACUCAUUUAUCACUACCAAAAACACAUUCGUAUGCUUACCGUUAGAGGAACAACAACUACACAAAACUCAGGUUGCUGGAGGCACACCCAACUGCUCUCGAUCUUCCCUUAAAACAUAUCAGAUUAAUUAGCUAACAUAUAACACAGAUUUAACAACACAACUUUGGAACUCCAAAACCCUUAAACCAAAAGAACACUCUCAACAAGAAAAUAGAGAAAGAACAAAGAACCCUUACCUACCAAGAUUGAAUCCAACCAAGCCAAAAGAAGAAAUAAGAUAGAAUCAAAUAAGUAGCAAUCCAAAACCGAAUGAUUAGAGGACGAAGAUUAAAGAAAGGGAGAAAAAUAGAGGAUUAGAUUUUGCAAUUCUUUUACCGGAAGAAACAUAAAAUAAUGAAUGGGGGAAAAAUAGGAAAAAGUGGGAAACAAGGGAUUAGGGGGGAUUUGGGAAAAGGAAAUAAAAUAAGAUAAAAAUAAAAAAUAUAUAUAUAUAAAAACCAAUUUUAAAGUAACUCCAUAUUCUGAUAACAUAUCAGAUUUUGCCAGAAUUUCCAUAGUUAUGAUAUUUCUUCAGAUUAGGUAUCAACAAAAGUUUUAGUCCAACCGAUACUCAUUUUUAACUUUGUCAUUCAAUGUAAUUACAUUUAUCACCGUCAAAACAUUUGACAUGGAUUUAUAUUUUACACAAACAUAAUAUUCUUCUCGUUUUGUUCAUUAUUAUAUUGUUUCUUAAUAUGACAUUAAAUUAUCUUUUAAAUUUAUAUUCGAAUCAAUAUGAUAGAUACCUUUACUUAGUAUGAAAAUAAUUUGAAUUUUUUUCCUAAUAACACAUUACGUAUAACAAAUAAAGCUUUCUCAAUAUUUAUUUCUUAAUAUUAAUAGAAAUUAUUAUAUUCUAAAUAAAUUGAUUAUUUUAGUUUUUCUCAAUAUAUUUUUUUCACAUUUUAAGUCUAUACAAUAUUUUUUUUUUGAAUUUCUCCUCAAAUUGAGAGUAAACCUAAAGAAACAUGAGGAUUCAAAUACUACAUUAAUCAUAAUCAUAUUCUUCCUAAUAAAUUAUAGGAAGACUGAAAUAUAUAUAAUACGAAUGUUGGUACGAAAGCUAUAAUUUUAUUUUGUCAAUAGUAUGGUUUAAUUUGAAAUUUUUAGAUUUUACUGGUAUUUAUAUUUUAUAUUCAAAUUAAGAAAUAAAUGAUAUUUUAAUGCUUUAUUAAGAAAAAAAUGUAAAAAGAAACUUUGCUGAAUACUGCUUUAUUUGGGCUAUACAACUAUCUAUAAUUUAUAUUUGUCUUAGAAUUAAUAUGACAUGAGGAAAUAACUAAACUACGAUUGGUUGAAAAGGACAUGAAAGAUUAAUGUAUGUAAGAAGUAAGUAAUUUAAUUUGUUGAUUAUUGGUGAAUCAGUAUUGUUUUUUGGAAAAGAAAUUGGAUAAAAAAACUCAUGAUCAAACUGAUUCUAAAAGAUAAGAUAUUCAAAUGCAAAAGAAAUCAUAAUAUUCCCAGAUUAAUUUGCCUUCAAAAGCGCUCUUUUACUAUAAAGUACAAAGUCUCUGAUCAAUUCAACCCUAUAAAUAUGGAUUUUAUUUAACCUUCACUUUGCACAAUAAAAUAUAACGAAAAAAAACACAAGUAAAAAUAAACUAGCUAGAGACAAUAUUGUGUGUUGUAGUCAUGGUUGCGAAGAAAAUGAUGGCAAUAAGCUUGAUGGUGUUGAUGAUGAUGGCUAUGGUAGUAACUGAAGUGCGAUCUAGUGAAAAUUUAGAUGUCGAGCGUGGUGUAAAAGAAGGGAUAGGCUCCUGCGCUAAAGAGUGUGCACUUAAAUGCCUUCCUCAAAUCAAUCCUCGACGUAUUGUAAUUUGCACGGCUCUUUGCAUAAUAGCAUGCAAACUGAAUCCCCACCUGCCAUCUUCAAUUGUACCACUGACUGUGCAAAUUCCAUAAUCAAAACCUACGACCCCACUGGUAUAUAUAUUAUUUUGUAUAAAUACAAUAAAAUCUCCAAUAUAACAUUUUAAUGGCUUUUCAAUUGUUUUUUUUUAUUGCAGAGGCAAGAAAAAUAGAUAGCAUCGUCGGUUUUGUGUUUAUUAAUGUUAUUUACUCUCGGCUCAUUUUAGGAUUUAAAUGGUUAAAAAUAUAUAUUAAGUAUUACUAUUUUGCUUUUGUAACUAUCAAGCAUUUUGAAUAAAAAAAUAUUUUCAUUUUAAGCUUUUAGUAUAUUUGUUUCAUAUCUUGUGGGAUUAAUUGUAUCUCUUAGUUUUCUCUUAAUCAUUUUUCUUAACUCGGCUAAAGCUAAAUAAUUUGAACAACAAAAUUGUUGAGUAAUUGAAGAAAAAAAAUUAAGUUUAAGGUUAUUCGAGGGAAAAUGAAAAUUUACUCAUUUUUUACGCUAAUAUAAAUCAUUGAAGCUAUUACAAACUCCUUGACGUAAGGAGUUUGAGUGGACUUAAAGUGUGUAAUAUCCCCUUCUGAGUAUAUAGUUAAUUUAGGAUUGGGGUUUAUAGGUAGUUUCUUAAAUUUUUUUAAAAAAAAAGUCCUAAAAAAAGAGAAAAUUUUAUGCUAUUUGAAAAUACUUAUGAUAUUAAUAAUUAAAAUCUUUAAAAUUGACCAUGAUGCUGCACUCGAGAAGAUCAAUAAAUUAAAAUUAGAUUUGAUAACUCUCCUAUAAGCAAGUGGGUAGGAAGAUUCCAACCAAUAAAUUUAUGUUUUGUCAGAAUUUUCAUAAUUAUGAUAUUUCUCCGAAUUAGAUUCCAACCCAUACACAUUUUUAACUUCGUCAUAACUGCAUUUAUCACCAUCGAAACAUUUGACAUGGGGUUAUAUUUUAC